GGAAUAUUGGACAAUGGGCGCAAGCCUGAUCCAGCAAUGCCGCGUGUGUGAAGAAGGCCUGCGGGUUGUAAAGCACUUUCAGUGGGGAAGAAAAGCCUAAGGUUAAUAACCUUGAGUCUUGACGUUACCAACAGAAGAAGCACCGGCUAACUCCGUGCCAGCAGCCGCGGUAAUCCGGAGGGUGCGAGCGUUAAUCGGAAUUACUGGGCGUAAAGGGCACGAAGGUGGCUUGGCAAGUCGGAUGUGAAAGCCCCGGGCUUAACCUGGGAAUUGCAUUCGAUACUGCUGAGCUAGAGUAUGGGAGAGGAAAGCGGAAUUCCCGGUGUAGCGGUGAAAUGCGUAGAUAUCGGGAGGAACAUCAGUGGCGAAGGCGGCUUUCUGGCCCAAUACUGACACUCAUGUGCGAAAGCGUGGGGAGCAAAC
Molecule: ribosomal RNA, 423 nt
Filed under: uncultured bacterium
Lineage: Bacteria
Description: bacterial SSU rRNA
Rfam family: Bacterial small subunit ribosomal RNA
Source: RNAcentral